GAUCGAACAGAGGCAUAUUUGCUUCAUCACCGAAGUUCAGUGUUAAAAAAAAUCAUCUAGUAUUCCCAAUGGCCGAAGUUCAAAGUUUUCUUCAUUAAGAUUUAUUGUUUUGACUGAUUUAGAGAACGAUAAAUAUAAAAUUCACAACUUGUUUUGUUCUUUUUCCCUCUUUGCCUUUUGGCAUCAUUUUGGCAUUUUUCAUCAUAUCUAAAAUGAACUAAUUACUAUGAUAUGAUGUUCAAAUAAUAAUGAUUGGUUAAAUCAUUUUGAUAUAGAUUUUUAUUUUAUUUUUACAUUGAAAAAUACAUGUGUGAUCAAUAUCCCGCAAAAAGGGCAUAUCUUCAAGCUUCAUGGUGAAGGUAAGUUUCAUUUUUCAAUGAAUUAUUGGGGAAUCAUUUGAAUUUUAACAAGUAGAGAAUAAAGCAAACCCAAUAAUAAUAAUGUGUCCAUGAAAAUGAAGACAUGUGACACAUUUGUUUUCAAAGGAGAAUCGUGUGGGUUUACUUUCAGAAAUUGAUAAGACUACUCCUACAUGGAUCGAUCACCAGUCUCCACUUUUUCCAAUAAUUCGAUCGGAGAGUAAAAACCUUUCGGAAUAGUGUUAUAUUGAAGAAUUUUGUUUUAUAAUUAUAAAGUAACUGGAAAAUUGAUCUUUAGUUUAAUAAUAUGCGAUGCAAUAUGUGAAUUGCAGUGAUCAUGAACUUAAACUCGGGCAUCUCUCUCACUAUAUAUGAACACACUGAACUUGGAUUGUCUGUUAUAACUUAUAAGAUUCAGAGUCCGACUAAGGAGAAGCUUUUUGUAAUGACAUCGUGAACAAACGCAAAUAAUUUUGGAAGAAAGCAUAUCAAAACGAAUUGAGUCAAAUACAUGUUUAAAGUUUCUUAUUAUUAUGUAAAUGUAUAGUUUUACAAACUCUUAGAUCCGUAGUUUUACAAUAGUUUGGCAGACAAAACCAGAGCCGGUCUUGGAAGGAAGCUAAUGAAGCUUCUGCUUCCGGCCGCACAAUAUUAUGAUUUUAAACGGCCACAUUUGGACAGAAAGUCCUUAGUAUCUUAGUGGUUUGGCUUGGUGUUGUUAGUGUUCAAGGUCGUGGGUUCAAGUGACUUCAGCCACAUUUUUUAUUUUGGCUUCUAACCACUUAAUUACUAAGACCGGCUCUGGACAAAACAUGUGUGGCCUUGGCUCAUCAUUAUUGAAAAAAGAAAUAAAACUUGUCUAGAAAAAAUAAAUUUCCUAAACCGAAAAAGCAUACCGUACCGCGGAGUCUGUGGCCUAUGCACCCCAGAGGUCAAUCUUGAUAGCGUCCAACGAAUGUUGGGUUUUUACUGGUUCACAGAUAUUUAAGACACAUCUUGAUGCAACAAAUGAAAACUAAUUUCUUUAAUCAAUGUUUUUGACAUCAUUCUUUAAAUCAAUACAUAAGUUGAUUACUGGAGUUUUGUUCGAAAACAAAAUGAGUUUGAACAUAAGAAAAAUAAAAGGAAAUUCGGAGAACACGCAUGAAUAAGUGACAUGCAGUGAUUGGUGAGCUAAAUAAUUUUCUGGAUGUGACAGUUUACUUAUGCCCAUGCAUUAGCUUAAAAAAAUUGAACUGUCGAAAUAUAAUCCUUUGUUUAUUUAUUUUUUUUUUUUUUUUUUUUUUGGUAAAAUGUUAAAUAUUAUACCAAUUUUUCAAUUUUGACAGACAUUACAAUAGACGACUAGUAGCAGAAAAUAAACGACAAAAUGACACCAUAACAAACUACGGACAACACCAAAGACCGAACCUAAGAGCAAUACAAUACAAGCGAUAAAACAGAGUGAUAACGAGACAGCCUCAGACCAAACUACUCUAGAACUAAAUGAAGAAACCAACCGGUUACCGCGAGCUACCGAGAGAAGGGUGCCCUCAAACCCUGAUUGCAACGGCUCCUACAGCUUCCAACUGAUACUCCAUCGCGAACUAAAGCUAAGAAUCCAAGCUCGAGCCCCAAAGUAGGCCUGGUAAAAGAGACCACCGACGGUACGAGGAGAAGCCGAAGUCCGACGAUGCCGUCGUUCGAUGGUUUGCGCCGAAGAAUACCGCCUCCAUUGCAUUCCACCAAGACCGUAUACACCCAUCUAACCGGACUCCAUAUAGAAGUAACGGAUCGGAAGACGGACAACCCUCCGGAAGAGACAAAACCAAAGCCAUACUUGGUGCCUGUAGUCGAAUCAUCGCACCAAAAAACCCACUCGAGCUGAUGAGGCCCGCAAGCCACAGAGACAAUGAUGUUGCGAUUAUUGGAGAAGAGCAAGCAGCAGAGCAGGCCACUUCGCCAACACCACACCAUCUGAGGAGAGGAAUUAGCAGCAACCAGCAGCUAGAGCCGAAACUAGAGCGAACCAGAGCCACCAAAGACCAUCCACGCACAGCCACAGAGAGUCACUGACAGAGAGCCAAAGCACCACCACCAACGAAACCCUGUGCGCCACCACCACUGGAGAACGCAGCGGAGGUUCCUCAAAGAAGCAGAGGAAACCGGCAAGAAACCAGAUCCCCAACACCACAUGCAGAUUCACCCACCACCGGACGAACCAGAAGAAGAACGAAGCCGACUUGGCGCUUGAAGGCGCAGCACCACUACCACGCUCGGAGAAACAAGUCUACGUCACGGGAAAACUUCUGAGAACCCCAAAACCAGACCAGGAGCAACAGCGACGCCGGAAAAGCCGUCCUCAAGCGAGUCCGUACACCGAGAGCCUAGAUCUGAGAAGUGGAGCACCAGAUCUGAGACGAGACAAGCGACUCCCUCCACCGAGAACAACGAAGAAGACGGGAGAGAGACAGAAACAGAGAGAAACAGGAAGACGGAGGUCCGGCGGCCGCGAGAGGAGGCGGCGGCCGCCGGAGAGAGCUAGGCAAUUAGGGUUUUGCUCUUAGAGAGAAGGUAGAGGGUCUGGUUUAGAGAGAGAGAGAAGGUAAGGCGUUUGUUUAUUCGUUCCCUUGUUCUUGUUUAUUUAUUUUGUUUACCAUAUGUAUCAUUUGUUGUGACAAGAGUUGAUUUCCGAUGCAGCAAUGCUUAAUGAUUUUAGAUUGUAUACUUUUCUGAUUUAUCCACGUAUAUGUGUGGGACGUUUAUAAAAUUGUACAUCUAUAGUUGUCUUGUAAUGGGGGAGCAAUUACAUUGAAGAUGGAAUAAGUCGUUUUCUAACCUACGUUGAUUUUGAAAUUAAUUUGAGUCGUAGACUUGGAUUAAUAAUGAAGAACGUGAUAAAAUCGACAAAGUGGAACAAAUUUACUGUGUAAACUAUUUUAUUUAUGUUACAAUUUUGUAAUGCGUUUGCAUUAGUAUUAGAAAAUCCUAUCAUACGUAUAUAUAUAAGAAUAUGCUUAAACAUAUAUAUCAGAUAUUACGUGAAUUUUUCUACAUAAAUUGUUUUAGUGUGUUGUUUGGGUAAUAUUUUUUUUAAAUUAAUUAAAAUAUAAAUAGCUAACUUAAUUCAAAUACGAUGAUAGUUGGUCUUUAAGAUAGCCAUGCUAAUUAUUUUCUUAGGUGCUAAUUAAGUGGCAAAAAAAAAAGAAAAUAGAGAUUGUGAGAGUUUUAAACCCUUAACUUUUAGGUGUGAAGAUUUCCAAAAUCCUAAUCUUAUGCUAUUGUUUGCACGUAUAAACGCAUAAUUUAAUCAAUUAUGUAUGUACGUGUUUAUGAUACAAUGUACACACGUAAAUGUAUACUUCUCGAAAACAUGUUACUAAUCAUUUUUAUCCACCACUUAUAGAAACGAUAUGCGUAUGCAAUCAUUUUGGAUAAUAUUUUCGACUUGUAAUUGAGUUGUACCUCAAUUCACACAAGAAACACAAUAUACAUACAUGGAUGGAUGGCCUUGGGCAUAGUCAAUAAAACAUUAAAAUAUGGUUCACAAAUUUUAAAAUAAUUUACUAGAUAAAGGUAUUAAAAUUUUAGAGCUGGCCUGACCAUGUAUGCACAACGCGAACCAGUUAAGUAUUUCAAAUUUGUGAAAUGAAAGAGUUUUGAGUCUGAUGUGUGCACUAAGGCUAAAUUAAGCAUGCCAACUUCAAUUUGUUUCACCUAUACUUUUCUUUCUGAAUUCUAAAAAUAUAUGAUGGUAUCAGAAAGACUGAAGUAAUUGAUAUAUGUAUAUAACAUAUUUAUAUGAUGUGGGUGAAUAAGCAAAGUAACUACAUAGUUUAUCAUGUUAGAUUAUUAUAAGCGAAUCCACUAAACAAAAUUAUAAGCAUUAAGAAUUGAUUUUCUAUCCGUAUAGCUACAUGUCUGAAUGUGCAUGUAUACGUAGAUACGUAAGAAUGCGGAGAGGUUGUGCAAUGGAACAUGGAUGACAGAAUGGUCUACUCUAUUUAAUCCGCUAGCAAAGUAGCAAAGCCCUAGACGGACAAAGUUGGCAAAUUGACUUUCAAAUCUUACAAAUCAAAUUUAUAAACCAAUUUUAUAAGAUAAUCUAAAUUGUAUGCUAAAUAAUCGCUUAAGAACAUUAUCUCCUUCUUUUCCAAAUUACGUAAGACUACUGCCCAUCAUAAUUAAUGUUUUAGUAAAUAUACAGAUGAGAUUUAGUAAAACAUACCCUAAUGCUCAAAAUACAUCUGUCAACCAACCUAUUUAGAUUUGAUUGUAUUAUCAUCCUGCAUCUGCAUCCAUAUCUAGUUAAAUAUAUAUGUGCAUAUAUCAUGUAUUGCAGACUAUCUGACCUACUCACACUAUCCAGAUUUUUCGAUUCAAAUCAAAACAGAUAAUGAAUUAAAAGUCUAGUUAUACAUAUAUUAUUUUUAUUAUUUACGGAUAGACUGGAAAAAAUAUUCGUAAAUGUUUUAUUCGAUUCGUUAUCCGUUUUGAUUCGAACCAAAAAAUUCGGAUAUUCGUAAUACUACGAAGCAAAUCAAAUACUAAAAUGCAAUAUAUGUAAAAGACGAAGUAAAUCAAAAAUACGAAUACUCUUAGGAAUGUAUAUUCGAUUAUUUUUUAAAAAAAUAUUUUAUUUACGGAUCAAAUCGGAAAUCCGUGAAAAUUCUAAAAUUUUCCGGAUAUUUGAGACACCAAAUAUCCGGGUGGCUACGGAUCGAAUCGACAUUAAUCCCUCCAAAUACAUGGAUAUUCGAUCUGUGCUCACCCCUAUUUACGAAUACAAUUUAAUUUUCUUUAUAUGAAAGAAAAUUCACUAAUGUCUAAGUUUAAUUUAUUUUUAAUUAAUUGUAUUUUAAAAAAUUUAUCUUCCAUGUGUUAUUUUGAAUACAAAUGUUAUUUUGAAUACAAAUGUCAUUUAAUAUUGAUUAACAAUAUCUUUAUAUAUUUACCAACUACUUUUAUAUACUUUACAUACACAUACAUGUGAAUAUUGACGUGAACACUUGUAUAUAUAUACUAGGUGAUUUUUCCGUGCUCAUUCACAAGUAUAAAUAUUUAUAAAAUAAAUAUAUUAUAAUAAUUUAUUUACAUUAUAAGAAUUUAUUAAUAAUUUAUUUUAAAUUUUUUAUAAUUCUGUUAUUUAUAUUGUAAUAAACAUACAUGGUUUAUUUUAAAUAGCAUUAUGUUAUUUUAAUUAGACGUAUAAUUUUGGAUAUAUAAUAUCUUGACUGGUUAUUAUUUGGAUAUAUUAGAUAAUAUUUACUUUUUUGAUUCAACUAAGAUAUUUUUAUUAUACAUAUUAAAUUUUUGAUUACUUUUUUUGUUUUCAUGUAGUUUAAAUUUUUUUUUAGAUUUGUAUAAUUUAAUAUAUGUUGUUUUUAGAAUCAAACAGUAAAAAUAAACUAAAGUGUUGAUUGAUUCAAAGUUUCAUAAAUAAAUAUAACAAUGAUACUUAAUUGUAAUAGUUGGUUAAUAUAUUUAUAAUACUAUUUGAGAAUUUCGUAUUAAUUUAGUAAUAUUUUGAGUCGUCUAUAAUUUAUAUAUAUAAGAAUAUUACUAUAAAUAAAAAUAUAUUAUUUUUUAUUUAAUGUUUGACUUGUAUAAAAAAAUUGGAUUGGUCUAGAUACUCAUUUGUGGGUAUAUCGCGUUACAUAUAUUCCGUCAAAUUUUGUAUAACUAUUUCUAUCUAAUUCAACCAAAUCAUAUUUAUUGUAUUCAUUGCAUUAGUUUGGUUUUCAUCUUAGAUGUGUAUUAAAUUGACUAUUUGUAAUUUGUAAAUAGCCCACGACUAUGUUAAUUUUAUAGGAUUUAUUAGUUUGCUAUAUGUUAAUUUUCAAAAAUAAAAUUAUAAAAAUAAAAUGAUGAUAGGUACAAAAUUGCAUAAAAACAUAACUGGUACAUUCUAAAAAUGAAGAUUAAUUUUUUACUUUAAUAUCAAUAUUACUUUUCUAAAAUUUCAUUUUUAUGAAAUCACAUUAAAUAUAAAAAAUAUUUCUGUUUUAAGUUUUAUAAAUAUUUUCUUUAUCAUAAUUGUAUUUGAAAAAUAUAAAAGGGAAUAUAAAAAAGAAAGAUUAUAUUAAAUUUUAUUAAUGAAAGAUAUCUUAGUUUAUGUUAUUUAAAUUUUUUUGUAAUAAUUUGAGAAAUAAAUUGAUUUAAAUAAAAUGCUUAAUACUUUCAGAAUAUAUAUAUAUAUAUAUAUAUUAUGUUGUUUAAGAUUAUUUUAUUUUAAAGAAGAUUAUUUCUUUACUUUAAAAUCAAGACUAUUUUGUAAACUUUCUUUAUUAUGAAUUACGCUAUAUAUAAAAGAUAUUUUCGUUUUUGAAAUUUCUAAAAAAAAAUUAUUCUAUAGGUUAUUUGGAAAAAUGAAACCAAAAUAAAAAAGGAAAAUUAAAAUAAAAUAAAUAUUUAAUAAUGAUAAUUAGAUAUAUUUGAUUCAUUAAAGAUAUCAUAGUAAUCAACUAUCCUGAAAGUUAAUGUGAACGUGACACGUAUGAAACUAACUUUUCAAAUAAUAUUAUAGAGAUAUAUAUUCUGAGCACAAAUUGAUGUUCAAUUAAAGUGAUUAAAUUUCUCUAAUAUUAGAUAGUUUGCACGCGGUGUGAGGAGUUUUCUUUGUGCUUUGUUUUAUGUCGAUUCAACCCCAUCGGUUUGGCUUGUCAGACUGGUAGGAAUUUUUAGUUAAUUUUUGUUUGAUGUUGUUAAAAAAAAAAAGAUAGUGUAUAUCCAAAUCUCGGUUUAUUAUGAUUAA
Long non-coding RNA from Brassica rapa (field mustard), 7092 nucleotides. RefSeq lists it as uncharacterized. NCBI's taxonomy places the organism in Eukaryota, Viridiplantae, Streptophyta, Magnoliopsida, Brassicales, Brassicaceae. The record is from RefSeq and is a predicted model, not a curated record.